UUCCGGUUGAUCCUGCCGGAGGUCACUGCUAUUGGGAUUCGACUAAGCCAUGCGAGUCGAGAGGGUUCGGCCCUCGGCUGACGGCUCAGUAACACGUGGAUAAUCUGCCCUUAGGUGGAGGAUAAUCUCGGGAAACUGAGGAUAAUACUCCAUAGAUCUAGGAUGCUGGAAUGCAUCUAGAUUGAAAGCUCUGGCGCCUAAGGAUGAGUCUGCGGACUAUCAGGUUGUAGUCAGGGUAAAGACCUGACUAGCCUACGACGGAUACGGGUUGUGAGAGCAAUAACCCGGAGACGAUAUCUGAGACACGAUAUCGGGCCCUACGGGGCGCAGCAGGCGCGAAAACUUCACACUGUGCGAAAGCGCGAUGAGGGAAUCCCAAGUGUUUGCUCGUAAGAGUAAACUGUUUCUUUGUUUAAAACGCAGUGAGAGUAAGGGCUGGGUAAGACGGGUGCCAGCCGCCGCGGUAAUACCUGCAGCUCAAGUGGUGAUCAUUAUUAUUGGGCCUAAAACGUCCGUAGCCGGUUUAGUAAAUGCCUGGGUAAAUCGUGUAGCUUAACUAUACGACUUCCGGGUAGACUGCUAAACUUGAGACCGGGAGAGGCUAGAGGUACUCCUGGGGUAGAGGUGAAAUUCUGUAAUCCUAGGGGGACCACCAGUGGCGAAGGCGUCCAACUGGAACGGAUCCGACGGUCAGGGACGAAGCCCUGGGUCGCGAACUGGAUUAGAUACCCAGGUAGUCCAGGGUGUAAACGCUGCAGACUUGGUGUCGGAGGUCCUACGAGGGCGUCCGGUGCCGGAGAGAAAUUGUUAAGUCUGCCGCUUGGGGAGUACGUCCGCAAGGAUGAAACUUAAAGGAAUUGGCGGGAGAGCACCGCAACGGGAGGAGCGUGCGGUUCAAUUGGAUUCAACGCCGGG
RNAcentral lists this ribosomal RNA (915 nucleotides) under uncultured archaeon. Its description in RNAcentral is "partial 16S ribosomal RNA". It matches the Rfam family "Archaeal small subunit ribosomal RNA", at positions 1 to 922 of the family's 1478-position model. The record is from RNAcentral.